UCAGAACGAACGCUGGCGGCAGGCUUAACACAUGCAAGUCGAACGCCCCGCAAGGGGAGUGGCAGACGGGUGAGUAACGCGUGGGAACAUACCCUUUCCUGCGGAAUAGCUCCGGGAAACUGGAAUUAAUACCGCAUACGCCCUACGGGGGAAAGAUUUAUCGGGGAAGGAUUGGCCCGCGUUGGAUUAGCUAGUUGGUGGGGUAAAGGCCUACCAAGGCGACGAUCCAUAGCUGGUCUGAGAGGAUGAUCAGCCACAUUGGGANUGAGACACGGCCCAAACUCCUACGGGAGGCAGCAGUGGGGAAUAUUGGACAAUGGGCGCAAGCCUGAUCCAGCCAUGCCGCGUGAGUGAUGAAGGCCUUAGGGUUGUAAAGCUCUUUCACCGAUGAAGAUAAU
RNAcentral lists this ribosomal RNA (398 nucleotides) under soil bacterium 6V-16. RNAcentral's name for it is "bacterial SSU rRNA". It matches the Rfam family "Bacterial small subunit ribosomal RNA", at positions 24 to 452 of the family's 1533-position model. The record is from RNAcentral.